CGUAGGGUGCGAGCGUUAAUCGGAAUUACUGGGCGUAAAGCGUGCGCAGGCGGUUUUGUAAGUCAGAUGUGAAAGCCCCGGGCUCAACCUGGGAACUGCGUUUGAAACUACAAGGCUAGAGUGUAGCAGAGGGGGGUAGAAUUCCACGUGUAGCAGUGAAAUGCGUAGAGAUGUGGAGGAAUACCAAUGGCGAAGGCAGCCCCCUGGGUUAACACUGACGCUCAUGCACGAAAGCGUGGGGAGCAAACAGGAUUAGAUACCCUGGUAGUCCACGCCCUAAACGAUGUCUACUAGUUGUUGGGAGAGUAAAAUCUCUUAGUAACGCAGCUAACGCGUGAAGUAGACCGCCUGGGGAGUACGGUCGCAAGAUUA
This 372-nucleotide ribosomal RNA is filed under the name uncultured organism. Its description in RNAcentral is "bacterial SSU rRNA". It matches the Rfam family "Bacterial small subunit ribosomal RNA", at positions 526 to 896 of the family's 1533-position model. The record is from RNAcentral.